This 447-nucleotide ribosomal RNA is filed under the name Helopeltis sp. 20020C-20. RNAcentral's name for it is "partial large subunit ribosomal RNA". The stretch from base 321 to 447 matches the Rfam family "Bacterial large subunit ribosomal RNA", at positions 2473 to 2600 of the family's 2925-position model. Lineage: Eukaryota; Metazoa; Arthropoda; Insecta; Hemiptera; Miridae. RNAcentral also lists the same sequence under 1 other name. The record is from RNAcentral.
GACUGUACAAAGGUAGCAUAAUCAUUUGUCUUUUAAUUGAAGACUGGUAUGAAUGGUUUGAUGAAAAAUAUACUUUCUUUAUGUUAUAGGAAAAAUUUAUCUUUUUAGUGAAAAUACUAAAAUUAUUAUAUAGGACGAGAAGACCCUAUAGAACUUUAAUUUAUAAUUUAUAAUAUAAUUUUGGUUAUUUUUAUUUUUAUAUAAAUUAUAAAUUUGUGUUGGGGUGAUAGAUAAAAUAUAAAAACUUUAUUUUUUGGUAUCAAUUAUUUUUGUAAAUUUUUUGAUCCUUUUUUUAAGAAGGAAGAAUAAGUUACCUUAGGGAUAACAGCGUUAUUAUUUUGGAGAGUUCUUAUCGAUAAAUUAGUUUGCGACCUCGAUGUUGGAUUAAAAUUAGUAAUAGGGGGAGAUUCUUAUAUACUAGGUCUGUUCGACCUUUAAAUUUUUACA